UAACAAUGGAAUGAAUGGUGUUACGUAUUAUACACAUCAUAGUACUAGCGGAAGUGGCGUGGGAUCAGAAACCAGUGAUUUCGAUAACGGAGGAAAUGGUUUAACAUACACUCAGCAGACUAAUAACAAUGGAAUGAAUGGUGUUACGUAUUAUACACAUAGUAUUAUACACAACAUAGUACUAGCGGAAGUGGCCUGGGAUCAGAAACCAGUGAUUCCGAUAACGGUGGAACUACUACUUAUUAUAGUGGUACAGUACUAGCGGAAGUGGCGUGGGAUCAGAAACCAGUGAUUUCGAUAACGGAGGAAAUGGCUUAACAUACACUCAGCAGACUAAUAACAAUGGAAUGAAUGGUG
Molecule: long non-coding RNA, 357 nt
Filed under: Androctonus crassicauda
Lineage: Eukaryota; Metazoa; Arthropoda; Arachnida; Scorpiones; Buthidae
Source: RNAcentral